RNAcentral lists this long non-coding RNA (528 nucleotides) under Manihot esculenta (cassava). Its description in RNAcentral is "long non-coding RNA (MESC_LNC009592)". The record is from RNAcentral. Lineage: Eukaryota; Viridiplantae; Streptophyta; Magnoliopsida; Malpighiales; Euphorbiaceae.
AGGUUCGGCGGCUGAAUGUCCUCUCCAGAGACGAAACUCAAGCACCUUCGGCGGCACCUUCGGCGGCCGAAUCCCCCAAACAGAGCCGAACAUGCAAAAACACUCGGGGGCAAGCUGUGGCAACUAAGCUACCAUGCAGGAGGUUCGGCGGCCGAAUAAACUUUCGGCUGCCGAACCUGAGUUCAUCCAGAACUCAGCUUCAACGGCAAACCAUCUCCUUCUUUCCUUCAACUUCUCAAACCAUGCAAACGUCACCUCCUCAACAUACAUAUACUCAUGUAUAUGAUCACAGGGGUCCAAGACUAGCUAAUAACCCCAAACAACAAAACAAACAUAACACAUAAACAUAUAUACAUGCAUACCUCAUCCAAAACACUACUUCUCACUUAAACAUGCAUCUCUCUCCCUUAACUUCCAUAAAACCUUCAGAAAACUUAAAAACAUGUUCAAGAGCAUCACUUACCUCCUGUAACACGAAGAUGAAUACUCUGAACAAGAAAAAUGGACCAACUCUCCUCAAACUCUCAA